RNAcentral lists this ribosomal RNA (399 nucleotides) under uncultured bacterium. RNAcentral's name for it is "bacterial SSU rRNA". It matches the Rfam family "Bacterial small subunit ribosomal RNA", at positions 362 to 757 of the family's 1533-position model. The record is from RNAcentral.
UCUUGGGCAAUGGGCGCAAGCCUGACCCAGCAACGCCGCGUGGAGGAUGAAGUCCCUCGGGAUGUAAACUCCGACAGAAGGGGACGAAUAAGCAUGGGCUAAUACCCCGUGCGAUGACGGUACCCUUUGUAAGCCCCGGCUAACUACGUGCCAGCAGCCGCGGUAAUACGUAGGGGGCAAGCGUUGUUCGGAUUUACUGGGCGUAAAGCGCGCGUAGGCGGCACUGCAAGUCACUUGUGAAAUCUCCGGGCUUAACUCGGUAGGGGCCAAGUGAUACUGCAGAGCUAGAGUGCGGAAGAGGCAGCUGGAAUUCUCGGUGUAGCGGUGAAAUGCGUAGAUAUCGAGAGGAACACCGGUGGCGAAGGCGGGCUGUGGGCCGACACUGACGCGAGGCGCGAA